AGAGUUUGAUCAUGGCUCAGAUUGAACGCUGGCGGCAGGCCUAACACAUGCAAGUCGAGCGGUAGCACAGAGAGCUUGCUCUCGGGUGACGAGCGGCGGACGGGUGAGUAAUGUCUGGGAAACUGCCUGAUGGAGGGGGAUAACUACUGGAAACGGUAGCUAAUACCGCAUAACGUCGCAAGACCAAAGUGGGGGACCUUCGGGCCUCAUGCCAUCAGAUGUGCCCAGAUGGGAUUAGCUAGUAGGUGGGGUAACGGCUCACCUAGGCGACGAUCCCUAGCUGGUCUGAGAGGAUGACCAGCCACACUGGAACUGAGACACGGUCCAGACUCCUACGGGAGGCAGCAGUGGGGAAUAUUGCACAAUGGGCGCAAGCCUGAUGCAGCCAUGCCGCGUGUGUGAAGAAGGCCUUCGGGUUGUAAAGCACUUUCAGCGGGGAGGAAGGCGGUGAGGUUAAUAACCUCAUCGAUUGACGUUACCCGCAGAAGAAGCACCGGCUAACUCCGUGCCAGCAGCCGCGGUAAUACGGAGGGUGCAAGCGUUAAUCGGAAUUACUGGGCGUAAAGCGCACGCAGGCGGUCUGUCAAGUCGGAUGUGAAAUCCCCGGGCUCAACCUGGGAACUGCAUUCGAAACUGGCAGGCUAGAGUCUUGUAGAGGGGGGUAGAAUUCCAGGUGUAGCGGUGAAAUGCGUAGAGAUCUGGAGGAAUACCGGUGGCGAAGGCGGCCCCCUGGACAAAGACUGACGCUCAGGUGCGAAAGCGUGGGGAGCAAACAGGAUUAGAUACCCUGGUAGUCCACGCCGUAAACGAUGUCGAUUUGGAGGUUGUGCCCUUGAGGCGUGGCUUCCGGAGCUAACGCGUUAAAUCGACCGCCUGGGGAGUACGGCCGCAAGGUUAAAACUCAAAUGAAUUGACGGGGGCCCGCACAAGCGGUGGAGCAUGUGGUUUAAUUCGAUGCAACGCGAAGAACCUUACCUGGUCUUGACAUCCACAGAACUUACCAGAGAUGCAUUGGUGCCUUCGGGAACUGUGAGACAGGUGCUGCAUGGCUGUCGUCAGCUCGUGUUGUGAAAUGUUGGGUUAAGUCCCGCAACGAGCGCAACCCUUAUCCUUUGUUGCCAGCGGUCCGGCCGGGAACUCAAAGGAGACUGCCAGUGAUAAACUGGAGGAAGGUGGGGAUGACGUCAAGUCAUCAUGGCCCUUACGACCAGGGCUACACACGUGCUACAAUGGCAUAUACAAAGAGAAGCGACCUCGCGAGAGCAAGCGGACCUCAUAAAGUAUGUCGUAGUCCGGAUUGGAGUCUGCAACUCGACUCCAUGAAGUCGGAAUCGCUAGUAAUCGUAGAUCAGAAUGCUACGGUGAAUACGUUCCCGGGCCUUGUACACACCGCCCGUCACACCAUGGGAGUGGGUUGCAAAAGAAGUAGGUAGCUUAACCUUCGGGAGGGCGCUUACCACUUUGUGAUUCAUGACUGGGGUGAAGUCGUAACAAGGUAACCGUAGGGGAACCUGCGGUUGGAUCACCU
This 1528-nucleotide ribosomal RNA is filed under the name Klebsiella pneumoniae. RNAcentral describes it as "bacterial SSU rRNA". It matches the Rfam family "Bacterial small subunit ribosomal RNA". RNAcentral also lists the same sequence under 1 other name. The record is from RNAcentral. Lineage: Bacteria; Pseudomonadati; Pseudomonadota; Gammaproteobacteria; Enterobacterales; Enterobacteriaceae.